CGCCUUUUGAGGGAAUAGAAGGUCUAACCUGCCCACUGAAUAAUUUAAAGGGCCGCGGUAUUUUGACCGUGCAAAGGUAGCAUAAUCAUUAGUCUUCUAAUUAAAGGCUGGAAUGAAUGGUUGGACGAGGUAUUAGCUGUCUCACUAGUAAUAUUGGAAUUUAGCUUUUUAGUCAAAAGGCUAAGAUGUGGUUGGAGGACGAGAAGACCCUAUAGAGCUUUAUAUUAAAACUGUUUACCUUAUUUGGUAGGGGUUUGGGUUUGCAUGGUAAAUAUUUCGUUGGGGUGACGGGGAGAUAAAUGAAACUCUUUCUAAAAUUUAACACGGAUGAGUGGGUAUUUGAUCCAUAAGUAAUGAUUAGAAGACUAAGUUACCUUAGGGAUAACAGCGUAAUCUUUUUUGAGAGUUCUAAUCGACAAGAAGGGUUGCGACCUCGAUGUUGGACUAAAGGUUAUUCUUGGGUGUAGCAGCUCAAGGUUUAGGUCUGUUCGACCUUUGAAUCUUUACAU
Molecule: ribosomal RNA, 509 nt
Filed under: Ecdyonurus fractus
Lineage: Eukaryota; Metazoa; Arthropoda; Insecta; Ephemeroptera; Heptageniidae
Description: partial 16S ribosomal RNA
Rfam family: Bacterial large subunit ribosomal RNA
Source: RNAcentral